Molecule: long non-coding RNA, 718 nt
Organism: Mus musculus (house mouse)
Lineage: Eukaryota; Metazoa; Chordata; Mammalia; Rodentia; Muridae
Product: predicted gene, 30448
Exons: 3
Source: RefSeq, a predicted model, not a curated record
UGUCUGCCCGGCUCUGUCUCUAAUAUAAUUUCCUCACCUAGCCCGUCUCUCUUUGCUCAGUUGAAUCUGAACAACCCUUGAAAGCAAUGUAAAUAUUUGCUCCCGGAAGAAACUGUGCCCAAGCCCAGGCUGAUCUUGCUACCCUCCUCCUGGGCAAAGCUGUUCCCUGGCCCAUUUGUAGCCUCGUGGGUACCACCCUCUCUGGCCCAUUCACAGACUAAUGAGGUACCACUCAUCCCUGCUGCAUCCCAUCUUGAUGACAUGCUCCUUCAGGGAAGAAACUGUGUCUUCUUUUCCAAACUGUGUAUUCUAGUAGUAAAUGCCACACCUUAGGCACUCUGAGCCCACGAGAGGGCUGGGUCUCAUUUGUUUAUUGGAAUAUAUGGCCCUGCAGCUGGAAUGUCACUGUGCGUCCCCUGUGAGCAAAUCUCCUGGGAUCCCUUGGCACUUAGCAGCUCUUGACCAGUUUUUUUGGUGCUUGUGCCGAGGAGGAUGGCUGGAGACUGUAGCCAGCAGCUGCAGAGCCCACCAUGCUGCAAGAGAGUCCAGCUUCGUGGAAAAGCAAGCCCAGUGAGUGUAGCGUCUAUGGGAGGGAUACCUUCUCAAUUACCUAGUCCGGCCAGUUCCCAGAUGUGAGCAUGCCUCCAACUCCUGCCUGCCAAGCCUAGCUGCAAUUCAUAGUCAACAGUUUCCUGGGCAAAUAAAAUGGUGAUUUGAA